GGAGGUGCGAAUAUGUCGGAGACAUAUUUUUUCAUUGCACCGACCGACUUGUCGCUGACCAAAGGAAAGGGGCGAUACCUUU
Molecule: small RNA, 82 nt
Filed under: bovine gut metagenome
Description: GA-cis RNA
Rfam family: GA-cis RNA
Source: RNAcentral